This 5051-nucleotide long non-coding RNA is filed under the name Sus scrofa (pig). RNAcentral describes it as "lncRNA (ENSSSCG00015067088.1)". The record is from RNAcentral. Lineage: Eukaryota; Metazoa; Chordata; Mammalia; Artiodactyla; Suidae.
UUUUUUUUUUUUUGUCUUCUUUUUUUAGGGCCACACCCACAGCAUAUGGAGGCUCCCAGGCUAUGGACCCAAUCGGCCUACACCACAGCCACAGCAACAUGGGAUCCGAACCACGUCUGUGACCUACACCACAGCUCACAGCAACGCCAGAUCCUUAACCCACUGAGCGGGGCCAGGGAUUGAACCUGUGUCCUCAUGGAUACUAGUUGGGUUCAUUAACCACUGAGCCACAGUGGGAACUCCCAUCCUGCCCUACUUUUAUUGAAAACUCUCCACAAGCUUCCCAUCUCCUUUAGGGUAAAAUCCAAAGUCCUCGUAGGAACUCACAAAGCCCCACAAAGUCUGCACAGCCUCUGCCUCCAGAUCCCCUUUGACCUGUUCCCCUAUAACUUUCCCUGCUCCCUCUGUGGACACCCCUUUUGUCUUAGAGGUGCUUCCUUCAGUUGGCCUCAGGGCUCACUCUCUCCCUCCUGCUCCAGCUCCACUUCCUCAGAGAUACUGCUCCUCCCCUUCUCCUGCAGCCCUCGUCACUCCUCUUCCAAGCAAGUCUUGCUACUUGAUAGACUAUAUGGCAUAUUAAUUUUAUUAUCUGGCCCAACCCAGGAGACUGUAAGUUCUGAGAGAGCAAUGGCUUGUUUGAUUUCUGUGUCCCCAGCCCUUAGAACAGUGGCUGGAACAAGGUAAAUGCUCAAUAGGUUUUUGUUGCUUCAGUAAAUAAACAGCAGGUCCUUUGUUAAUCCUAGGGUAUAGGAGAGGAAAUGGAGAUUAAAAAUGUUUAAGACCUAUAUACACAUUGGAAUAUUACUCAGCCAUGAAAAAGAAUGAAAUCUUGCCAUUUGCGACAACAUGGAUAGACCUAGAGAGUGCAAUGCUAAGUGAAAUAAGUCAGGCAGAGAAAGACAAAUACUGUAUGAUUUCACCUAUAUGCGGCAUCUAAAAAAGGAAACAAACAAAGAAAACAAAACAGAUACAGACUCAAAGAUACAGAGAAACUGGUGGUUGCCAGAGGGGCAAAAAUAGGUGAAUGAGAUCCAGAGGUGCAGACUUCCAGUCAUUUAAUAAGUAAGUCGUGGGGAUGUAAUGCACAGGCUAAGGAAUAGAGUCAAUAACAUCAUAAUAACUUUGUAUGGUGACAGAUAGUUACUAGACCUAUCAUGGUGAUCAAUUUGCAAUAUAUACAUAUUACUCAGCCAUACAAAAGAAUGAAAUAAUACUACUUGCGGCUACAUGGAUGGACUUAGAGAUUAUCAUCAUAUUAAGGGAAGUAAUUCAGACAAAGAUAAAUAUCAUAUGAUAUCACUAUAUGUGGAAUCUAAAAAAAUGAUACAGGAGUUCCUGUUGUGGCUCAGUGGUAACGAACUCAACUAGUAUCCAUGAGGACAUGGGUUCAAUCCCCAGCCUCUCUCAGUGGGUUAAGGAUCGGGUGUAGCUGUGGUCUAGAUCAUAGACACGGCUCAGAUCUGGCAUUGCUGUGGCUGUGGUGUAGGCCAGCAGCUGCAGCUCCGAUUGGACCCCUAGCUUGGGACCUUCCAUAAGCCACAAAUGCAGGCCUAAAAAGCAAAAUAAAUAAAUAAAUAAAAAUUGUAAAAUGAUACAAACGGACUUAUUCACAAAGCAGAAACAGACUCACAGACAUAGAAAACAAACUCAUGGUACCAAAGAGGAAAGGUGGGAGGGAGGGAUAAACGAAGAGUUUGGGGUUAACAUAUGCACACUACUAUAUUCAAGAUAGAUAAUUAACAAGGACUUUCUGUAUCGCACAGGGAAUCUACCCAAUAUUCUAUAAUAACCUACAUAGGAAAAGAAUCUGAAAAAGAAUGGAUGUAUGUAUAUGUAUAACUGUACACUUUGCUGUACACCUGAAACUAAUGCAACACUGUAAAUCAACUAUACUCCAACAUAAAACAAAAAUUAAAGUUUAAAAAGUUGCAAUGGAUAUAAAUGUCAAAUCACUAUGUUAUACACCCGGAACUAAUAUUAUGUCAUCUAUACUUCAAUUUAAAAACUUAAAAUGAAAAAAUUAAACAUAAAGAAGUUACAAAAUUGUUUUAAAAAAAGAAAAAUGAUUAAGACCUUUAGAAGCUCCCAGCUUGGUACCUUUCCCCACAGGAAGGGUAUAUACUUUCAUAGGCCACAACAAAUAGUUUUAAUCAAAAAAGUAUAAUCAAGCAUACCAAAGAACUGGUUUUAUUGCUUUUGCUUGUCUGAACUUAAGACAUUGCCUUAUUCUUGGAGUUCCCGAUGUGGCGCAGUGGAAACAAAUCUGACCAGGAACCAUGAGGUUGCCGGUUCAAUCCCUGGCCUUGCUCAGUGUGUUGAGGAUCCGGCGUUGCCGUGAGCUGUGGUGUAAGUCGCAGAGGAGGCUCAGAAUCUGAGUUGCUGCGGCUGUGGUGUAGGCCAGUGGCUACAGCUCCAUUCAACCCCUAGCCUGGGAACUUCCAUAUGCUGCGGGUGCAGCCUUAAAAAGCAAAAAAAAAGAUAAUUACCUUAUUCUAGAAAUCUGACACAGAUCCAUUCGCUAUAACAAAUUCAGACGUAAACACACCUGAAUCCACGUAUAUUUUCCUCUCCCCUGUGAAUGGCAGAAUUCCACAUGGUCCCAUCUGGUCUUACAGACAGAUAGCAAAAGUUUCUUAGAUGCCUAAGUGACACCACCAACACCCCUGUUCAAGUGCCCCCUACCCUGGUUCAGGAGAACCUGAAAUUACAGAAUUUACAAUUCAUUGACCUCUGAAAGAAGCAAGUCACGCCCCAAGGAGAGCUGCAAACAAAAGCGUUCCUGAGCCAGAUUCCUUGUUGACACUAGUCUCUGGUUACACCUCAAGCCUAAAAAGGGAGGAAAUUCAGUCUUCAAAGCCAGUGCAUCCCCACUUUUGUCUGUCCACAGCAGAAUCCCUUCCCCCACCCCAUCCUCCCCAGGAGGCACACACUGGGAGCUCAAAAACACAAAUGCUGCCUGGGAAGGCAUUUUCAGGUUACACACAAGAUAAAUAUAUACAAAUAUAUCUCCAAAGUAACUUACAGCGCCUGGCUCAGGUUUCUUGCCUGCACAAGGGUUUAAAGCCUUAAACAAUGCCUCCCAAGCAUGCCCUCUUGUGAACCCCCUUUCCUGUGCAAAACCUCUUUUUGGCCCAGACCCCAGGAGUCACCUUUCAGAAGCAUGUGGCCACUCCCAGGGCACCCUCUUUCAGCCUCCUCACAGAGCCAAGACCUUUCCCAAGGGGCCAGGACGGGCCCAGAGGGGCAAGGCCACACGGCUGACACUGCAUGAGCGAUUACCUUGUCCCCGGAAUUCCAGAGAGGCCUUUCCUCGGACCUCACAGUGUCCUGGAGGGUGAGUCUCCUGGGUUUUCAGGCCUGGAGCAGAGGCCUGAAAGCACUGUCCCCAGCACAGACCAAAUGGACUUUUCACUUGUUCAGCCUGCCCUCUGUUCUCCAGGCCUCCCCGUCCUGCUCGGCCCAGGGUUCCACAGAGCACUGGACCAGGGGUGAGAGGCUGCAGUGCUUGUCACUCCCGCUCUGGACCGUCGGUUCUGUCUACACUAACCAAGUGCAUCAUUUUGACAGAGGCGAAGACGGAGGCCCAGAAGGUGGAGGCCAGUGUGCUGAAGGGCAAAGAGGCUGUUAGGGUCAGAGGUGGGGCAGGAGCCCCUGCCUUAGGGACCCAGACCAGCCUCCUCCUGUGGCACCAACCUCUUCACUUAGAUUCUUCAUUGUUCCUCUCUGCCCGCUCCUCUCUCUUGUCCUACUUUUGAAUCUUCCUUAGAGAGUUAUCUCUUCCAGGGCUUCCAUCCAAAGCCAGGCCAUCUUAGAAACUUCCCCCUUGCUCCACUUAGAAGCUCACAGCUCUGUUCCCUCAGCAUCCUCCGCUCAGUUGUGGGGUUCAGACCCCGGCUCCCUUCUUGCCUUCAUAUACGUAAAUAUAUUGUAAAACAGCUCUGAAGGCAUGUUCUAAAAGCGUGUGGAUGUCCAGCACCUCCCUGAUGGUCACAAAACAUCCCGUGAAGCCAUCUGGAAAAGUGGGUUAUUUUCUUCGUUGUCACAGAUGGAAGUGAACCAGGUAAGGGGCUUGUCCACUGUCACCAGUGGAUGAGUCAUGGAGCCCAGGAGUAAAGCUGUCAUCCCCCGUUUCUGCCUCUAAGGGUCUUUCAUACCCAGCCUCAUCUCUCUCCAUAGAGGGGUUCCCCCAACAUCAUCCUCACCCAACUUUUUUCCUCUAUCCAUUCAUUCCCUUGGACUCUGACAUCUGUCAACUUCCAAAGCUCCAAAUGUAUGUAUCUCUCUUUUUUCCUAGACAUCCUCACACUUGGGUGACACCUAAGGAGCCCUGCACCUUCCUCCGUCUGGCUUCCUCGCUUGACAUAGCGUGAUGUCGGGGGGUCAGGGUUAAGAGUCGGAAAUCAGACAGGCCCUGAUCCGCAUCUCGGCUCUGCCUCUUACCUGCAGGGUGACAUUAGUCAGGUUACUGAACCUCGGAGAGCCUCGGUCUCUUCAUCUGUACCCUGAGAGUGUGACUAUCUCAUGCGGCCACUGUGAGGAUGAAACGAGGACAUUGUGGCCCAUGGUAAGUACUCAGGUUAACAGUAGCCAUCAUCUGCCUUAGCAUCAGUGUCUCAGUCUCUCUUCCCUGAGAUGAGAGUGGUCUCCUAAGCAUCCCCUGGUCCCCAAGUAUGCGGCCCCCCACAUCCCCUCCCCUCUUCCAUCCCCCACCUCAGCCUCCCAUCCAGGCUGUCUCCAGGUGACCCUUCACAAACACACAUGCCUAGAAAAAAAGGAAAUUCUAAAGGAAUUUUUGCUUCCAUACAAAUAGAAGCAAAAGAAUACAAAGUAAUUAAUCAAUUCGUUUUUAAAACUGAAAUUUUACUCCACACUCCCAUUCCUCACCCCCUUCCAAAACAAACAAACAAACAAACAAACAAACAAAAACCGUUUGUAAAUUCUGACCGGAUUUGUCAUUAGGAAAUGUAUCACUCCCCAGAUAAAGCAGUUUUCCACCAAAUCUUCAAGAAGCAGACUGGGCUCUAUCUCUAUCAAGCUGCUCAACAGUCCCC